GCGGAAGUGGCGCAAUGGUAGCGCAUCUGCUUCCCAAGCAGAGGGCUGCGGGUUCGAGUCCCGUCUUCCGCUCCA
Molecule: transfer RNA, 75 nt
Filed under: Chloroflexaceae bacterium
Lineage: Bacteria; Bacillati; Chloroflexota; Chloroflexia; Chloroflexales; Chloroflexaceae
Description: tRNA-Gly
Rfam family: tRNA
About the family: Transfer RNA (tRNA) molecules are approximately 80 nucleotides in length. Their secondary structure includes four short double-helical elements and three loops (D, anti-codon, and T loops). Further hydrogen bonds mediate the characteristic L-shaped molecular structure. tRNAs have two regions of fundamental functional importance: the anti-codon, which is responsible for specific mRNA codon recognition, and the 3' end, to which the tRNAs corresponding amino acid is attached (by aminoacyl-tRNA synthetases). tRNAs cope with the degeneracy of the genetic code in two manners: having more than one tRNA (with a specific anti-codon) for a particular amino acid; and 'wobble' base-pairing, i.e. permitting non-standard base-pairing at the 3rd anti-codon position.
Source: RNAcentral